GGAACAGGCCUUUCAGGCAUCCUCUCCCAAAGACUUUCCAAGGGCCGGUCAUCGCGAUCGGCCCUUUUUUUGUCUGGAU
RNAcentral lists this small RNA (79 nucleotides) under Novosphingobium sp. Rr 2-17. RNAcentral's name for it is "Makes More Granules Regulator RNA (mmgR)". It matches the Rfam family "Makes More Granules Regulator RNA (mmgR)". From Rfam's summary of the family: SuhB later renamed mmgR (makes more granules regulator) was a putative non-coding RNA found multiple times in the Agrobacterium tumefaciens genome and related alpha-proteobacteria. The record is from Rfam by way of RNAcentral. Lineage: Bacteria; Pseudomonadati; Pseudomonadota; Alphaproteobacteria; Sphingomonadales; Sphingomonadaceae.